GUUGAACGCUGGCGGCAUGCUUUACACAUGCAAGCCGAACGGUAACGCGGGGGGUAACCCUCGGCGACGAGUGGCGAACGGGUGAGUAAUACAUCGGAACAUGUCCUGGAGUGGGGGAUAGCUCGGCGAAGACCGGAUUAAUACCGCAUACGCUCUGAGGAGGAAAGCGGGGGACCGUAAGCCUCGCGCUGCGGGAGUGGCCGAUGUCGGAUUAGCUAGUUGGUGAGGUAAAGGCUCACCAAGGCGACGAUCCGUAGCUGGUCUGAGAGGAUGAUCAGCCACACUGGGACUG
This 292-nucleotide ribosomal RNA is filed under the name uncultured bacterium. Its description in RNAcentral is "partial 16S ribosomal RNA". It matches the Rfam family "Bacterial small subunit ribosomal RNA", at positions 28 to 321 of the family's 1533-position model. The record is from RNAcentral.